AUCGUUGCCCGAUGCCUAUUGCACUGUGAUAGGAAAUUCUAGGGCGAAAGAUGGCUUCCCGUGAGCGUUGUUGCCUCGCGGUUGGUUGAAAAUCGAGUCCUUGGUAGGGUGUGCCAUGAUAGGUGGUGGUCGAGUUUGCACGAGACCGAUCAUGUGUGCGCUCCCCAAAAUAUGGACUCUUUGACCCCACACGCGUCUUUUGACGUCA
This 208-nucleotide unclassified non-coding RNA is filed under the name Oxytropis campestris. The record is from RNAcentral. Lineage: Eukaryota; Viridiplantae; Streptophyta; Magnoliopsida; Fabales; Fabaceae.